Molecule: long non-coding RNA, 511 nt
Organism: Glycine soja
Lineage: Eukaryota; Viridiplantae; Streptophyta; Magnoliopsida; Fabales; Fabaceae
Exons: 2
Source: RefSeq, a predicted model, not a curated record
ACAUCCUUUGGUGAAUGGAUAUCCUUGGCAUAACCCUAAGCAUAUGCCAAUGUUUCAGUGGUUUAUUCCAUCUUCUUUGCUAUAAAGACUGCUAUACACACACAAAUUAGAGGCAAUUCAAGACACAUGCACCAAUUCAAGGUGAAAACUUAAGCAAAUCAGCAAUAGGGCACCUCUCUCCUGGCAGGUAUUUUUGGAGCUACCAAAAAUCAAUGUCAAUAACUUGCCAAAGGAGAGUUGCCCUGUGGCUGGUUUAGCUUAAUCUCAUAGAAUGGUGGCAGAAAAAAGUGUCUUGUCAUACUGGAAACUAGAUGAAUUGACUAUCUAACUCUGUUGGAAAGGCUUAACUAUGGAGAAAUGUUUUUGGAAUUUGGAGGCAAGUCUCUUCUUUUUCUUUUUUUGGGGGGAACAUUUUUGUUAACAAAUGUUUUAGAUAAAGGCAGAUAGCAUAUUGCAAGGCUGAGGAAUAAUACAAGCAUGGCAAUGAAAUGAAUGAAUCAUUUUUUUUCAA